This 449-nucleotide ribosomal RNA is filed under the name uncultured bacterium. RNAcentral's name for it is "bacterial SSU rRNA". It matches the Rfam family "Bacterial small subunit ribosomal RNA", at positions 331 to 794 of the family's 1533-position model. The record is from RNAcentral.
CCAGACUCCUACGGGAGGCAGCAGUGGGGAAUAUUGGACAAUGGGGGGAACCCUGAUCCAGCGACGCCGCGUGAGUGAAGAAGUAUUUCGGUAUGUAAAGCUCUAUCAGCAGGGAAGAAAGAAAUGACGGUACCUGACUAAGAAGCCCCGGCUAACUACGUGCCAGCAGCCGCGGUAAUACGUAGGGGGCGAGCGUUAUCCGGAUUCACUGGGUGUAAAGGGAGCGUAGACGGCCGUGCAAGCCAGGAGUGAAAGCCCGGGGCCCAACCCCGGGACUGCUCUUGGAACUGUGCGGCUGGAGUGCGGGAGGGGCAGGCGGAAUUCCUGGUGUAGCGGUGAAAUGCGUAGAUAUCAGGAGGAACACCGGCGGCGAAGGCGGCCUGCUGGACCGCGACUGACGUUGAGGCUCGAAAGCGUGGGGAGCGAACAGGAUUAGAUACCCUGGUACA